UGCUUUGUUGAUAAUCGGGCGGUGUCACUACCCGAUUUGAGUCGAGUGCAGAUCUCCGUUGCGCAUGCUCAGAUUUAAACGGUUUAUGGCAUGACGUGUCAUACAGAAAUUUGUGAAAUCCAUUAAAUAAUAAACUUUUCUCAUUAGAAACAAUAACAGA
Molecule: long non-coding RNA, 160 nt
Organism: Etheostoma cragini (Arkansas darter)
Lineage: Eukaryota; Metazoa; Chordata; Actinopteri; Perciformes; Percidae
Exons: 3
Source: RefSeq, a predicted model, not a curated record